RNAcentral lists this ribosomal RNA (280 nucleotides) under uncultured bacterium. RNAcentral's name for it is "partial 16S ribosomal RNA". It matches the Rfam family "Bacterial small subunit ribosomal RNA", at positions 496 to 730 of the family's 1533-position model. The record is from RNAcentral.
AGUGAUUGUGCCAGCAGCCGCGGUAAUACGUAGGGUGCGAGCGUUAAUCGGAAUUACUGGGCGUAAAGCGUGCGCAGGCGGUCCGCUAAGUCUGAUGUGAAAGCCCCGGGCUCAACCUGGGAAUGGCAUUGGAAACUGACGAGCUGGAGUUGUGGCCAGAGGGGGGUGGNAAUUUCCACGUUGUUAGCCAUUGAAUUGCCUUUAAAAAUUUGGAAGAAACCNCCCCGAAUGGNAAGGCCCCCCCCCCUUNGGCUNUANNCUUUAACNCNUANGGCCCCCA